AGGACCAUGCCUUUGUUACCUGGCUCCCCUGUCUCUGUCUGUUCCUGUGUCUACCUUCUGUUCCCUGUCUCGACAUCAACCCUAGCCUCUGCUGUUCUGGUGCUCAUACCCGGGCUCUGCCUUCCACAGGCUGAUUUCACGGAGCACUCAACCUGGCUUGUCUUUGCUUCCAUGUCUUGCCCCGGGGUUCUUCUUCUACUCUCUCCAGCUUCCCUUCUCCCUGUCUUUCAUGAUUUACAUCUAAAGGUAGCCUGGGUUCUUCCCUUUAUGGUAUCGUUUCCAGUGCUUCCAGAUUCUCUGUUCCAGGAUCCUUCUUAUCUUCUCUCCCCACCCCACCCCCAUUCUGAGCAUCAUCCUUAUCUUGAGGCUCUACCACCAGUCCUCGACCCUCUGUGUGCACAGCCUGGCCACCUUUGAAGCACCUUUAUCUCUUGCUCUUUUAGGCUCUGGCUCUUAGGUUCCCUGGACUUCUCCACACAUCUCCUUCAUCCAGUGUGAUCCUCUCUACGGGUCUCUUCACUGCUGCUCAGGUCUGAUCUAGGAAGAAGAGUGGGCUUAAUUGGGAGACGGGAUGAAGGUAUAAAGAGGAGACUUGGAGGACCUGGGCUCUCCUUUCUGUGGCCUCCUUAUGCCCAGAAUCUCUCCCUUUUCUGUUUCCUCUGCUCAAGCUGUGUGUUGGUUUCCCAUCUCUUCUGACUGCAUCUGAUUGACUGGCCUUUCCUUCUUCCUUCCUUAUUUCGUUCUCUGUUCUCCCUCCCCUGCUGUUUUUGCUAUUGGUAACCAACCCUUCAUCCUCAGCACAGGGCCCAUGCUCUGGUUGCCUAGCUCAGUGGUCAGAACACAGAGGGCUGUUGAACAGGAGUCUGGCCACACACGAGUGUGUCUGUAGGUGGGGUUGAGGGGAGACUCAAAGAGAUGUCUUCAAAUCCCAUUGUCUUUCAGACCCACAUUCCUAAAGCUACCCUGAGCAGCCCAGCUGUGACAGAGUAUCUCAGGAACUAGCUUGGCUUAGCUGGAGCGGACUCACUCACUCCUUUUUCUACCCCCAGGCCCGGCAGUGAUUUAGUUCCCGAUCCUUCCAAACUCUGGUCCCUCUGUUGUCUGCUUUCUCUUGAGAUGGCUUGCCACACCUAGGGCCAAACUCUAUCUUCCAGCUGCUGCAGAGGUCAAAAGCCUUGCAAAUGGAAGUCACAGAGGGGAAGUGAUGGAUGAAAUGAAUACUGCAGACCAGGGGGUGGGUGCUGGGAGGAUGGGGAGGAAGAAAAAUAGGCUAAGGUUACUGUCCUCCUGGCUAAGUGGAAGGUGCAAGGGACACUGUGGAUAGCUGUGUUUGGAAUGCCACGUGACUACAUCUCUCAUCCCGUGUCCUCUCAGAGACCUGCCUGGGAUGGGAUCUAAGGGGACAUUACUACAUCUGCUGAGGGGGUCAUACCUUUGCAGACUGAAAAGUCACUGGUCAGUUCCUACACCCCAGGACUUCUGUGGCCCAGCUCUGCAUAUUAUCAGCGUAGGAUACUAACUAGCAGUGGCACCUAUGUGUGUGGUGGAUGAGCUUCAGAGUUCAGUUUGUAGUAAGUUGUGGACCAGACAAGCCUCACUCUUAGAGAAGAAAGAGACCCAUAUUCUGGCCAAUUGGUGCACUCUAUGCUUGGGCCAGACACAGAGUCCAGGCCUUACCUUGACCUCCUCCUCCAGUUGCCUCUUGAGGUCCUCCAGCUGCUGUGUAUACGUGAGCUUGCCUCGGGUUAGCUGAGAGAUCAGAGCCUCCUUCUCGUCCAGCUGCCGGGACAGCUCCCCUGGGGAGGCACCAAGCUUGGCCCGCUGGCUGGUGAGGUCAUUGACAGAACGCUGCGUCUCCUCGGCCUUGCUCCGGUGCUCAUUCAUCUGGUCUUCCAAGGUCCGGC
Mus caroli (Ryukyu mouse) is the source of this 1904-nucleotide non-coding RNA. NCBI's taxonomy places the organism in Eukaryota, Metazoa, Chordata, Mammalia, Rodentia, Muridae. The record is from RefSeq and is a predicted model, not a curated record.